UGAUAUGAGGUGCAUGUCCUCCCACUGGGG
RNAcentral lists this non-coding RNA (30 nucleotides) under Rattus norvegicus (Norway rat). Lineage: Eukaryota; Metazoa; Chordata; Mammalia; Rodentia; Muridae. The record is from RNAcentral.